AACGCAAAUUGCGCCCAAGGCCUCGGCUAAGGGCAUGUCUGCCUCAGCGUCGGCAUACCCCCAUCGCUCACACACAUGGUGAGCGGAUAUGGCAGUCCCGGCCCGGGUCAGCCGAAUUGCAGCAGUGGCUGCCAGGACCCGCCUUAGGCGUGGCUAUUCAGUUCGGUAGGUGACCUUUGGUUACAUGCCACUGUUGGCCAUUGUGGCCUGGCGUAGCAUACUGGCAGGAAACGAGAGCGCUAGCCGCUCUUCUCAUUUCGACCUGAGGUCAGGCAAGAUUACCCGCUGAACUUAA
Molecule: unclassified non-coding RNA, 295 nt
Filed under: uncultured fungus
Lineage: Eukaryota; Fungi
Description: partial contains 5.8S ribosomal RNA, internal transcribed spacer 2, and large subunit ribosomal RNA
Source: RNAcentral